This 619-nucleotide ribosomal RNA is filed under the name Bacillus sp. TBS57. Its description in RNAcentral is "bacterial SSU rRNA". It matches the Rfam family "Bacterial small subunit ribosomal RNA", at positions 66 to 665 of the family's 1533-position model. Lineage: Bacteria; Bacillati; Bacillota; Bacilli; Caryophanales; Bacillaceae. The record is from RNAcentral.
GCGAAUCGAYGGGUAGCUUGCUCCCUGAGAUUAGCGGCGGACGGGUGAGUAACACGUGGGCAACCUGCCUAUAAGACUGGGAUAACUUCGGGAAACCGGAGCUAAUACCGGAUACGUUCUUUUCUCGCAUGAGAGAAGAUGGAAAGACGGUUUACGCUGUCACUUAUAGAUGGGCCCGCGGCGCAUUAGCUAGUUGGUGAGGUAAUGGCUCACCAAGGCGACGAUGCGUAGCCGACCUGAGAGGGUGAUCGGCCACACUGGGACUGAGACACGGCCCAGACUCCUACGGGAGGCAGCAGUAGGGAAUCUUCCGCAAUGGACGAAAGUCUGACGGAGCAACGCCGCGUGAACGAAGAAGGCCUUCGGGUCGUAAAGUUCUGUUGUUAGGGAAGAACAAGUACCAGAGUAACUGCUGGUACCUUGACGGUACCUAACCAGAAAGCCACGGCUAACUACGUGCCAGCAGCCGCGGUAAUACGUAGGUGGCAAGCGUUGUCCGGAAUUAUUGGGCGUAAAGCGCGCGCAGGUGGUUCCUUAAGUCUGAUGUGAAAGCCCACGGCUCAACCGUGGGAGGGUCAUUGGGAAACUGGGGAACUUGAGUGCAGAAGAAGAAAGUGGA